GUCCACGCCGUAAACGAUGGGUGCUAGGUGUGGGGGUGUCGACUCCCCCGUGCCGCAGCUAACGCAUUAAGCACCCCGCCUGGGGAGUACGGCCGCAAGGCUAAAACUCAAAGGAAUUGACGGGGCCCCGCACAAGCAGCGGAGCAUGUGGUUUAAUUCGAUGCAACGCGAAGAACCUUACCAGGGCUUGACAUGGUCGGGAAAGCUGUAGAAAUACGGCCCUCCUUCGGGACUCGAUCACAGGUGGUGCAUGGCUGUCGU
RNAcentral lists this ribosomal RNA (261 nucleotides) under uncultured bacterium. RNAcentral describes it as "partial 16S ribosomal RNA". It matches the Rfam family "Bacterial small subunit ribosomal RNA", at positions 793 to 1055 of the family's 1533-position model. The record is from RNAcentral.